This is a long non-coding RNA of Cyprinus carpio (common carp), 1553 nucleotides long. Lineage: Eukaryota; Metazoa; Chordata; Actinopteri; Cypriniformes; Cyprinidae. The record is from Ensembl.
AAUGUUUGACAAAUACAUGAAAAAGCUUCCAUGAAUGUUUUUCUUAGAAUAUUCCUAAAUAACGUUCAACUUACGUUGUAUUUUGGGUGAAAAUAGAAAAAACAGAAUCCUGUAAGAAAAGUUUUUGUAACUUUUAAAUAACAUCUUAAUCACGAUGGAUCUGGAAGAGCUGAAAUGCAACUGGUGUGCAGGUUUGGGCCUGCAGAUAUACUCCCUGAAGAGAGUGCGAGAGAGAAUCAGUGUGAACGUCUGAUGGUUUUGUGUGUCUGCUGUGUGUAACGUGAGUGGCUCAGUGAAAGAGCUGCACGGUUUCCUCCGGGUUUACUUCAUUACCGGAGCUCAUAAGAGCUGCUGGGUUUGUCGUGUAAAAUCAUUCUUCAGAUUAGCAGCACCGCGGUCAUCUGGAGCUCAUAAACACGCAGCGUAAAAAGAUACGGUGCUUUUUAAAGGCGUGAGAUCUCCAUCUGAGCCGGUUACUGGAGCACGAGUCUCUCUCUGAAUCAGCAGCAGUCGUGUGAACAGAUGGAAAAACGGUCCACAGAGCGUCCGGAGGGAAUGUGACACGUCCCGCUGGAGUUUAUCAUCUGCUCAACCUCCAGUUAUCCAGACUGAACCACAGUCACUCCUCCAACUGCUGUUAUCACUAAACACACACACACAGUUCCUGCUGGAGUCCUUUCAUACACCCACACUAGACUAUACACACUACACACUACACACAACACGCUAGACACUACACACUGUACACUACACGCUAGACACUGAACACUAGACACUGCACACUGAACACUACACACUAGACACUGCACACUACACGCUAGACACUGCACACUAGACACUACACACUAGACACUGCACACUACACACUAGACACUACACACUACACACUAGACACUGCACACAGAACACUACACACUAGACACUGAACACUAGACAUUAUGUACUGAACACUACCCACUAGACAUUACACACUGAACGCUACACACUAGACACUGCACACUGCACACUACACACUAGACACUGAACACGACACACUAGACACUGAACACUAGACAUUAUGUACUGAACACUACCCACUGGACAUUACACACUGAACGCUACACACUAGACACUGCACACUGCACACUACACACUAGACACUGAACACUACACACUAGACAUUAUGCACUGAAUACCACUCACUAGACACUGCAUACUAGACAUUGCACACUACACACUAGACACUGAACACUACACACUAGACAUUAUGCACUGAACACUACACACUAGACACUGAACACUACACACUAGACACUAUGCACUGAAUACUACACACUAGACACUGCAUACCAGACAUUGCACACUACACACUAGACACUGAACACUGCACACUAGACAUUAUGCACUGAAUACUACACACUAGACACUGCACACUAGACACUGCACACUGAACACUACACACUAGACAACGCACACUGUACACUGCAUACUGCACACUAGACAAUGCAUACUAAUCACUGUGUACUACCUACUUUACACUGCAUACUACACACUGUAUACUGCAUAGUACAUAC